UCGUAAAGCUAAUCACGUUAAGCAACACAUCCGCUUCCUGUAUGGCUCUUCUAAACAAAGGCUCCAACAUAAAACGCACCCUUACGAAAAAUAGAUCCAUAAAUCCGAAUUUCAUUUUCCAAUUUAAUGUAACCAGGUGAAAAAUGGGUACAUGUCAAAAAUGUAUUUUGUAAACCAUGUUUUGUUUUUAUUUCACCGACUGGUUGUAAUUCUUGUUUUUGUCAGCAUGUGGUGCUGUUGUUUACAGAGAGGUCUAAAAUUACCGGAAGUAGAAAAAACCUCUUGCGCAUGUACCGUGGCACUCUAACUAGAAAAACGGAAGAGAAGCACAUUUUGUGUGCCGAGACGUGGUGAAAAAAAAAGACUAUAUGGCCACCUAAGCAGAGAAUCCAAGUGUUCGCCUGUGUACCAGGACGUCUCAGAAGUCAUUGGAGUUCUCCCAGUUUGACCAGCAGACUGAAGGCCUGCCUGUGGCCAGUGUUCCCAGUAUAAUAAAUAAAUGUGUUUUAUUCUUUCACUUUUUGUGUAUUUUUAAAUAUGUCAAUCUGAAAUAUUACUGUAUUAAUGCAGCUUAUGUAAUGAAAUAAAAAUAAUUUACUCUGUUAGAAUUAUUUUCACUCUUUGCUGUCAAUUGCAGAGUUGACAUAUACUGUAAUAAUUUUUUUUUUCUUUCAGGAAAAAAGAGUAAGAAAAAUAUGUCGUUUAAUGUUUGACAAUGACUGAUUUAUCAAAGUCAUUGUCAGGUAACAAUGACUUUGAUAAAUUAAGUCAUUUUUCAAUAAUAUAUUAAAAAAUAAAUACAAGAAAAUACUUUUUUUUUCUUGUCUUGAAAUGUUAAAUGUACAUUAAAUUAUGGAAUCAUGUAUAUGUGUUCUUUAAUAAAACACUGUAAAAGUGUGUGUCUGUUCAUCAAUGUCAAUAUGAAAGCUAUCAGAAUAAUUUCUAUCA
This is a long non-coding RNA of Xiphophorus hellerii (green swordtail), 948 nucleotides long. RefSeq lists it as uncharacterized. The transcript has 2 exons. The record is from RefSeq and is a predicted model, not a curated record. NCBI's taxonomy places the organism in Eukaryota, Metazoa, Chordata, Actinopteri, Cyprinodontiformes, Poeciliidae.